RNAcentral lists this microRNA precursor (122 nucleotides) under Poecilia formosa (Amazon molly). RNAcentral describes it as "miRNA (ENSPFOG00000021264.1)". The record is from RNAcentral. Lineage: Eukaryota; Metazoa; Chordata; Actinopteri; Cyprinodontiformes; Poeciliidae.
GAGAUAAUGAGAAGAAGAAGAAAAACAACAACGAUGCAGUGGAGACUUACGACUUGGCAUUUGGUGAUCACCUCAUUCUUUUCCUUGUUAAGUUGAUUGUUCUCCUCCUCAAGUUCAUGGAU